Molecule: unclassified non-coding RNA, 218 nt
Filed under: basidiomycete sp. Pa
Lineage: Eukaryota; Fungi; Basidiomycota
Description: ITS1
Source: RNAcentral
AUGAAUUCUGAAAGGGGUUGUAGCUGGCUGUUUCGUUUGAGCGGCAUGUGCACGCCCUGAUCAUUAUCCAUCUCACACACCUGUGCACAUACUGUAGGUCGGCUUUUGAUUGGAGUGGGGUCUUCAUCGACUCUGCUUUUUAGUUGGGGCCUUCCUAUGUUUUAUCACACACUACUUCAGUUAAAAGAAUGUCCUCUUGCGUCUAACGCAUUUAAAUA